CCGCACGGGUGAGUAACACGUAUCCAACCUGCCGUCUACUCUUGGACAGCCUUCUGAAAGGAAGAUUAAUACAAGAUGGCAUCAUGAGUACACAUGUUCACAUGAUUAAAGGUAUUCCGGUAGACGAUGGGGAUGCGUUCCAUUAGAUAGUAGGCGGGGUAACGGCCCACCUAGUCUUCGAUGGAUAGGGGUUCUGAGAGGAAGGUCCCCCACAUUGGAACUGAGACACGGUCCAA
This 236-nucleotide ribosomal RNA is filed under the name uncultured bacterium. RNAcentral's name for it is "partial 16S ribosomal RNA". It matches the Rfam family "Bacterial small subunit ribosomal RNA", at positions 98 to 334 of the family's 1533-position model. The record is from RNAcentral.